This 27-nucleotide small nuclear RNA is filed under the name Arabidopsis thaliana (thale cress). RNAcentral's name for it is "snRNA_10445". Lineage: Eukaryota; Viridiplantae; Streptophyta; Magnoliopsida; Brassicales; Brassicaceae. The record is from RNAcentral.
AUACCACUACUUUUAACGUUAUUUUAC